Molecule: ribosomal RNA, 440 nt
Filed under: Escherichia coli
Lineage: Bacteria; Pseudomonadati; Pseudomonadota; Gammaproteobacteria; Enterobacterales; Enterobacteriaceae
Description: partial 23S ribosomal RNA
Rfam family: Bacterial large subunit ribosomal RNA
Source: RNAcentral
CUAUGUGUUGUUGGGUAGGGGAGCGUUCUGUAAGCCUGUGAAGGUGGCCUGUGAGGGUUGCUGGAGGUAUCAGAAGUGCGAAUGCUGACAUAAGUAACGAUAAAGCGGGUGAAAAGCCCGCUCGCCGGAAGACCAAGGGUUCCUGUCCAACGUUAAUCGGGGCAGGGUGAGUCGACCCCUAAGGCGAGGCCGAAAGGCGUAGUCGAUGGGAAACAGGUUAAUAUUCCUGUACUUGGUGUUACUGCGAAGGGGGGACGGAGAAGGCUAUGUUGGCCGGGCGACGGUUGUCCCGGUUUAAGCGUGUAGGCUGGUUUUCCAGGCAAAUCCGGAAAACCAAGGCUGAGGCGUGAUGACGAGGCACUACGGUGCUGAAGCGACAAAUGCCCUGCUUCCAGGAAAAGCCUCUAAGCAUCAGGUAACAUCAAAUCGUACCCCAAACC